Molecule: ribosomal RNA, 423 nt
Filed under: uncultured bacterium
Lineage: Bacteria
Description: bacterial SSU rRNA
Rfam family: Bacterial small subunit ribosomal RNA
Source: RNAcentral
CUUACGGGAGGCAGCCGUAGGGAAUUUUCGGCAAUGGGCGCAAGCCUGACCGAGCAACGCCGCGUGAGUGAUUAAGGCCUUCGGGUUGUAAAGCUCUGUUGUAAGGGAAGAACAUUCAGGAUAGGAAAUGAUCUUGAACUGACGGUACCUUACCAGAAAGCCAAGGCUAAUUACGUGCCGGCAGCCGCGGUAAUAGGUAGGUGGCAAGCGUUUUCUGGAAUUAUUGGGCGUAAGGGGUGCGUGGGCGGUUUUUUAGGUCUAUGGUGAAAGUGCGGGGCUCAACCCCGUAUGGCCAUAGAAACUAGUAGACUUGAGUGCAGGAGAGGGCAAUGGAAUUCCAUGUGUAGCGGUAAAAUGCGUAGAUAUAUGGAGGAACACCAGUGGCGAAGGCGGUUGCCUGGCCUGUAACUGACGCUGAGGCAC